GCCAUGCCGCGUGUGUGAAGAAGGCCUUUUGGUUGUAAAGCACUUUAAGCGAGGAGGAGGCUACUGGUAUUAAUACUACCGGAUAGUGGACGUUACUCGCAGAAUAAGCACCGGCUAACUCUGUGCCAGCAGCCGCGGUAAUACAGAGGGUGCGAGCGUUAAUCGGAUUUACUGGGCGUAAAGCGUGCGUAGGCGGCUUUUUAAGUCGGAUGUGAAAUCCCUGAGCUUAACUUAGGAAUUGCAUUCGAUACUGGGAAGCUAGAGUAUGGGAGAGGAUGGUAGAAUUCCAGGUGUAGCGGUGAAAUGCGUAGAGAUCUGGAGGAAUACCGAUGGCGAAGGCAGCCAUCUGGCCUAAUACUGACGCUGAGGUACGAAAGCAUGGGGAGCAAACAGGAUUAGAUACCCUGGUAGUCCAUGCCGUAAACGAUGUCUACUAGCCGUUGGGGCCUUUGAGGCUUUAGUGGCGCAGCUAACGCGAUAAGUAGACCGCCUGGGG
RNAcentral lists this ribosomal RNA (496 nucleotides) under uncultured bacterium. RNAcentral describes it as "bacterial SSU rRNA". It matches the Rfam family "Bacterial small subunit ribosomal RNA", at positions 391 to 878 of the family's 1533-position model. The record is from RNAcentral.